This 404-nucleotide ribosomal RNA is filed under the name Actinomycetes bacterium. RNAcentral's name for it is "Actinobacteria bacterium partial 16S ribosomal RNA". It matches the Rfam family "Bacterial small subunit ribosomal RNA", at positions 355 to 776 of the family's 1533-position model. The record is from RNAcentral. Lineage: Bacteria; Bacillati; Actinomycetota; Actinomycetes.
UGGGGAAUAUUGGACAAUGGGCGCAAGCCUGAUCCAGCCAUGCCGCGUGAGUGAUGAAGGCCCUAGGGUUGUAAAGCUCUUUCACUGGUGAAGAUAAUGACGGUAACCGGAGAAGAAGCCCCGGCUAACUUCGUGCCAGCAGCCGCGGUAAUACGAAGGGGGCUAGCGUUGUUCGGAUUUACUGGGCGUAAAGCGCACGUAGGCGGACUUUUAAGUCAGGGGUGAAAUCCCGGGGCUCAACCCCGGAACUGCCUUUGAUACUGGAAGUCUUGAGUAUGGUAGAGGUGAGUGGAAUUCCGGGUGUAGAGGUGAAAUUCGUAGAUAUUCGGAGGAACACCAGUGGCGAAGGCGGCUCACUGGACCAUUACUGACGCUGAGGUGCGAAAGCGUGGGGAGCAAACAGG